CGCGAAGAACCUUACCAGGUCUUGACAUCCUUUGACCAUUCUGGAGACAGAACUUUCCCUUCGGGGACAAAGUGACAGGUGGUGCAUGGUUGUCGUCAGCUCGUGUCGUGAGAUGUUGGGUUAAGUCCCGCAACGAGCGCAACCCUUGAUUUUAGUUGCCAGCAUUUAGUUGGGCACUCUAAAGUGACUGCCGGUGUAAGCCGGAGGAAGGUGGGGAUGACGUCAAAUCAUCAUGCCCCUUAUGACCUGGGCUACACACGUGCUACAAUGGAUAAUACAAAGGGUCGCGAAGCCGCGAGGUGGAGCCAAUCCCAUAAAAUUAUUCUCAGUUCGGAUUGCAGGCUGCAACUCGCCUGCAUGAAGCCGGAAUCGCUAGUAAUCGUAGAUCAGCAUGCUACGGUGAAUACGUUCCCGGGUCUUGUACACACCG
RNAcentral lists this ribosomal RNA (430 nucleotides) under uncultured Brochothrix sp. Its description in RNAcentral is "bacterial SSU rRNA". It matches the Rfam family "Bacterial small subunit ribosomal RNA", at positions 960 to 1392 of the family's 1533-position model. Lineage: Bacteria; Bacillati; Bacillota; Bacilli; Caryophanales; Listeriaceae. The record is from RNAcentral.